Molecule: long non-coding RNA, 1651 nt
Filed under: Equus asinus (donkey)
Lineage: Eukaryota; Metazoa; Chordata; Mammalia; Perissodactyla; Equidae
Description: lncRNA (ENSEASG00005028336.1)
Source: RNAcentral
ACUUUUCUUACAGUUUUUGAGUGACGCACUACAAAACGAUGGGGGAAAAAAAAAAAGGAGCCCUCUGGUCUCACGCAGGGCGUCUUCCGCCCUGUAAACUUGGCAAAAGGCGAACUGGACUGAAAUCCAGCACUCUCCAUAUAAGGAAGCCCAGCUAAACAUGUCAUGCGUAAUUUACGGGUAGCAGGCAGAGAAUUAACCUUUGCGUGCACAUCUUUGGCCCCGGCGAAAACCGGGCUGGAUGGCAGCCCCGGGGACGGGGACGCGGGGUCUCCCGGGAGAAACCGGGGCUCCCAUCCCAUGGGCUUGCAUCCGCCCCCGACAAAGGUCAUUAAGUUAAUUCAAGUGUCUGGAAUUAGAGCCACGGGGGAGCCCUCACAGUACGCAGGGCACACCUCCACACUGCCCGAAUUCCUCCUCUUUCGUAACACAGGAUUCUAUUACUGGCUGCGUGAAUGGGGCUCACACUAUGGAAGAAGGAGAACGCAAAUAUGGAACAGGGGAGGGCAAGAAAGAACCCUGUGGAGAUGGAUUGGAGUUGGAGGUGGGCUGCUUUGGGAAGUUCGUCCCGUGACAGAGGAGAGGGAGACACCCACUAACCUGAGAGAUCAGCUGGAUCAGCCCUGGAUAUCAACAGUCGGCAGACCCCCAGCUGGAUCACCCACACGUCACAGAGCCAGCCGCGUCUCAGUAAGACCGGUAUAAAGUUUCACAAUGCAAUGCAGCAGUCAUCCACUUUCAACUUUUAUUAGACUCGAUGAAAAUUUAUGUCUUAGGUAGUGUGUCACAUGAACGUAAUCUUAAUGAAACAUAGUAAAAUAUAUGUCUAUAUUUCAAAAGUCAAAAUUUAUCUUUUCCAGCAAUAAAUUAUUACAACAUGAUGUCUAAUUUUACUUAACGUGGAUUUGGGGGCAGGCUCUAAAUGCUUUUUCUUAUGACAGCAUGUGAAAUAAAAAGCAUGGGCAAUGUGUCCUGCUGUUCUAAUGAUGACAAGAAUAUUCUCUUCAACGAUCUGUGUGUCUCACGGAAACUCAGUCAGAUAAGCACUAAUUUUUUUCUGUAGAUAUAAUUUUCUCAAAGACAGAACAAAUCCUAAAAUUAUUUUCCAUAAUCUAGAACCAGUUUGUUUGCUCAGAGAUUUUAGUAAUUCUCAGCAACAACAACAUCAACACAUCUGUCUUGUCAGCAAGAUAGCAUUCCCUCUGCUUCUCUGGCCUUUGUUUGCCAUUCUGAAUUACAGGACUGAUCAAUUUAGAUUGUAAUUUCCUUGGGCUAUGUUUUCUCUUGGUCUUAUCAGUUAUUCAGCAUAAUACCACAUUAUGUCUAACACACCCACAGCACUUAAUAGUUUAUGAUAUCAAAAUACCUCAUACUUGAAAUUCUGGACAUUUAAAAAGACUUCCAUCAUUUUCUUUUUAAAGACAGGGGCAUUAAAACAACAAACAACAUAAUCAAGUUGUAAUGGAAAUAGUUUUGUUUAAUUAUCGUGUGACACAUAAAGCUGAAGAUGCACAAUUUUAAUGGAUUUCUCACAACUCCAAACUUAAUUUAAAAAUUUUGACCUAGUUAAGGAUGUUGAACUUUAGUCAACAGUUCAUUUCCUAAAUUUAUAACACUAACAAUGUGUUUUUCUUCUCUCUAUAAUCAAAAG